GAUGAACGCUGGCGGCGUGCCUAAUACAUGCAAGUCGAGCGAACAGACGAGGAGCUUGCUCCUCUGACGUUAGCGGCGGACGGGUGAGUAACACGUGGAUAACCUACCUAUAAGACUGGGAUAACUUCGGGAAACCGGAGCUAAUACCGGAUAAUAUAUUGAACCGCAUGGUUCAAUAGUGAAAGACGGUUUUGCUGUCACUUAUAGCUGGAUCCGCGCCGCAUUAGCUAGUUGGUAAGGUAACGGCUUACCAAGGCAACGAUGCGUAGCCGACCUGAGAGGGUGAUCGGCCACACUGGAACUGAGACACGGUCCAGACUCCUACGGGAGGCAGCAGUAGGGAAUAUUCCGCAAUGGGCGAAAGCUUGACGGAGCAACGCCGCGUGAGUGAUGAAGGUCUUCGGAUCGUAAAACUCUGUUAUUAGGGAAGAACAAAUGUGUAAGUAACUAUGCACGUCUUGACGGUACCUAAUCAGAAAGCCACGGCUAACUACGUG
This 497-nucleotide ribosomal RNA is filed under the name uncultured bacterium. Its description in RNAcentral is "partial 16S ribosomal RNA". It matches the Rfam family "Bacterial small subunit ribosomal RNA", at positions 28 to 507 of the family's 1533-position model. The record is from RNAcentral.